Apodemus sylvaticus (European woodmouse) is the source of this 2711-nucleotide long non-coding RNA. RefSeq lists it as uncharacterized. The transcript is spliced from 3 exons. The record is from RefSeq and is a predicted model, not a curated record. Lineage: Eukaryota; Metazoa; Chordata; Mammalia; Rodentia; Muridae.
GAGUGCAGGUGACUUCAGAGGACAGAGGAAGGCAGUGGACAUGUGAGUGCAGGUGCCUUCAGAGGACAGAGGACGGCAGUGGACAUGUGAGUGCAGGUGACUUCAGAGGACAGAGGACAGCAGUGGACAUGUGAGUGCAGGUGACUUCAGAGGACAGAGGAAGGCAGUGGACAUGUGAGUGCAGGUGACUUCAGAGGACAGAGGGGGGCAAUGGACAUGUGAGUGUAGGUGCCUUCAGAGGACAGAGGACAGCAGUGGGCAUGUGAGUGCAGGUGCAUUCAGAGGACAGAGGACAGCAGUGGGCUUGAGAGUGCAGGUGACUUCAGAGGACAGAGGACAGCAGUGGACAUGUGAAUGCAGGUGACUUCAGAGGACAGAGGACAGCAGUGGACAUGUGAGUGCAGGUACCUUCAGAGGACAGAGGAAGGCAGUGGACAUGUGAGUGCAGGUGACUUCAGAGGACAGAGGAAGGCAGUGGACAUGUGAGUUCAGGAGCCUUCAGAGGGCAGAGGAAGGCAGUGGACAUGUGAGUGCAGGUGACUGCAGAGGACAGAGGACAGCAGUGGACAUGUGAGUUCAGGAGCCUUCAGAGGGCAGAGGAAGGCAGUGGACAUGUGAGUGCAGGUACCUUCAGAGGACAGAGGAUGGCAGUGGACAUGUGAGUGCAGGAGCUUGCAGGAGACAGAGGAAGGCAGUGGACAUGUGAGUGCAGGAGCCUUCAGAGGACAGAGGACAGCAGUGGGCAUGUGAGUGCAGGUGACUUCAGAGGACAGAGGACAGUAGUGGGCAUGUGAGUGCAGGUGCCUUCAGAGGACAGAGGACAGCAGUGGACAUGUGAGUGCAGGUGACUUCAGAGGACAGAGGAAGGCAGUGGACAUGUGAGUGCAGGUGACUUCAGAGGACAGAGGAAGGCAGUGGACAUGUGAGUGCAGGUGACUUCAGAGGACAGAGGACAGCAGUGGACAUGUGAGUGCAGGUGACUUCAGAGGGCAGAGGAAGGCAGUGGACAUGUGAGUGCAGGUGACUUCAGAGGACAGAGGAAGGCAGUGGACAUGUGAGUGCAGGUGCCUUCAGAGGACAGAGGACGGCAGUGGACAUGUGAGUGCAGGUGACUUCGGAGGACAGAGGACAGCAGUGGACAUGUGAGUGCAGGUGACUGCAGAGGACAGAGGAAGGCAGUGGACAUGUGAGUGCAGGUGCCUUCAGAGGACAGAGGACAGCAGUGGACAUGUGAGUGCAGGUGACUUCAGAGGACAGAGGACAGCAGUGGACAUGUGAGUGCAGGUGCCUUCAGAGAACAGAGGACAGCAGUGGACAUGUGAGUGCAGGUGACUUCAGAGGACAGAGGGGGGCAAUGGACAUGUGAGUGUAGGUGCCUUCAGAGGACAGAGGACAGCAGUGGGCAUGUGAGUGCAGGUGCAUUCAGAGGACAGAGGACAGCAGUGGGCUUGAGAGUGCAGGUGACUUCAGAGGACAGAGGACAGCAGUGGACAUGUGAGUGCAGGUACCUUCAGAGGACAGAGGAAGGCAGUGGACAUGUGAGUGCAGGUGACUGCAGAGGACAGAGGACAGCAGUGGGCAUGUGAAUGCAGGUGCCUUCAGAGGACAGAGGACAGCAGUGGACAUGUGAAUGCAGGUGACUUCAGAGGACAGAGGACAGCAGUGGACAUGUGAGUGCAAGUGACUUCAGAGGACAGAGGACAGCAGUGGACAUGUGAGUGCAGGUGACUUCAGAGGACAGAGGACAGCAGUGGACAUGUGAGUGCAGGUGACUUCAGAGGACAGAGGAAGGCAGUGGACAUGUGAGUGCAGGAGCCUGCAGGAGACAGAGGACAGCAGUGGACAUGUGAGUGCAGGUGCCUUCAGAGGGCAGAGGAAGGCAGUGGACAUGUGAGUGCAGGUGACUGCAGAGGACAGAGGAAGGCAGUGGACAUAUGAGUGCAGGUGACUUCAGAGGACAGAGGACAGCAGUGGACAUGUGAGUGCAGGUGACUUCAGAGGACAGAGGAAGGCAGUGGACAUGUGAGUGCAGGUGCCUUCAGAGGACAGAGGACGGCAGUGGACAUGUGAGUGCAGGUGACUUCAGAGGACAGAGGACAGCAGUGGACAUGUGAGUGCAGGUGACUUCAGAGGACAGAGGAAGGCAGUGGACACGUGAGUGCAGGUGACUUCAGAGGACAGAGGGGGGCAAUGGACAUGUGAGUGUAGGUGCCUUCAGAGGACAGAGGACAGCAGUGGGCAUGUGAGUGCAGGUGCAUUCAGAGGACAGAGGACAGCAGUGGGCUUGAGAGUGCAGGUGACUUCAGAGGACAGAGGACAGCAGUGGACAUGUGAAUGCAGGUGACUUCAGAGGACAGAGGACAGCAGUGGACAUGUGAGUGCAGGUACCUUCAGAGGACAGAGGAAGGCAGUGGACAUGUGAGUGCAGGUGACUUCAGAGGACAGAGGAAGGCAGUGGACAUGUGAGUGCAGGUGACUUCAGAGGACAGAGGAAGGCAGUGGACAUGUGAGUGCAGGUGCCUUCAGAGGACAGAGGACAGCAGUGGGCAUGUGAGUUCAGGAGCCUUCAGAGGGCAGAGGAAGGCAGUGGACAUGUGAGUGCAGGUGACUGCAGAGGACAGAGGACAGCAGUGGACAUGUGAGUUCAGGAGCCUUCAGAGGGCAGAGGAAGGCAGUGGACAUGUGAGUGCAGGUACCUUCAGAGGACAGAG